GAUGAACGCUGGCGGCGUGCCUAAUACAUGCAAGUCGAGCGAACGGACGAGAAGCUUGCUUCUCUGAUGUUAGCGGCGGACGGGUGAGUAACACGUGGAUAACCUACCUAUAAGACUGGGAUAACUUCGGGAAACCGUAGCUAAUACCGGAUAAUAUUUUGAACCGCAUGGUUCAAAAGUGAAAGACGGUCUUGCUGUCACUUAUAGAUGGAUCCGCGCUGCAUUAGCUAGUUGGUAAGGUAACGGCUUACCAAGGCAACGAUGCGUAGCCGACCGGAGAGGGGGAUAGGCGACAUGGGAGCUGAGACACGGUCCUGAGUCCUACGGGAGGCAGCAGUAGGGAAUCUUCCGCAGAGGGCGAAAGCCUGGCGGAGCAACGCCGCGUGAGUGAUGAAGGUCUUCAGAUCGUAAAACUCUGUUAUUAGGGAAGAACAUAUGUGUAAGUAACUGUGCACAUCUUGACGGUACCUAAUCAGAAAGCCACGGCUAACUACGUG
RNAcentral lists this ribosomal RNA (497 nucleotides) under uncultured bacterium. RNAcentral's name for it is "partial 16S ribosomal RNA". It matches the Rfam family "Bacterial small subunit ribosomal RNA", at positions 28 to 507 of the family's 1533-position model. The record is from RNAcentral.